AUAUUAUACAAAAGUCUUCUCUUGUUACUAGAAAAACAAAGACACGCGAUCAGUGGUAGUCAGAACUAAAAUGCUUCCUCGCUUUUUCCUGUUCACGAUGGUGCUGUUCUGCCUAAUGAGUAUGUCACUUCAAGGUCAAGUCAUUUACGAAACCCCAUUGAAAAUUAUCAGGUUUGAGAGUGCAGCAGAAGUCUACAAGUAUGUGCGCCAACUCUACAUUUACAAGUACUUUCUCCGCCAACGAUUCUCCAGACCAAGGUUUGCCUGAGAUGUGGAAAGCUUUGAGUCACAGACGUUGUCUACAAUUGUCAUUGGAGAACUUGACUUUCCACAAUAUUACUCUGAAAUUUUAUUUAUUAAAACCAUUUUGAAGAUAA
Saccostrea cuccullata (small rock oyster) is the source of this 377-nucleotide long non-coding RNA. RefSeq lists it as uncharacterized. Lineage: Eukaryota; Metazoa; Mollusca; Bivalvia; Ostreida; Ostreidae. The record is from RefSeq and is a predicted model, not a curated record. The transcript has 3 exons.